RNAcentral lists this small RNA (117 nucleotides) under Marmota monax (woodchuck). Lineage: Eukaryota; Metazoa; Chordata; Mammalia; Rodentia; Sciuridae. The record is from RNAcentral.
GCUAGGCAUGGUGACGUGUGCAUGUAGUCCCAGUUACUUGGGAUGCUGAGGCAGGAGAAUUACUUGCACUUGGGAGCUCAAGAUCAGGCUGGAAAACAUGGCAAGAUCCUAUCUCAA